This 244-nucleotide long non-coding RNA is filed under the name Phaseolus vulgaris (common bean). RNAcentral describes it as "long non-coding RNA (PVUL_LNC004377)". Lineage: Eukaryota; Viridiplantae; Streptophyta; Magnoliopsida; Fabales; Fabaceae. The record is from RNAcentral.
CCAUUAUUUAUAAAUUUGUUAGUUCUUUCUAACUUGGAAUUAUGUUUGCUAGGAAAUCUCAAAUUCUGAUCUCCUUGUUAUCUUUCGUUACCAAAUAUUAUUUUUCACUCUCUUGUUAUUAUCUUUCUUAAUGUGUAGAAAAUUAACCAAUGCAUCAAUAAAAGUCAUUGCUGAGCACUGUCCUGGGUUGUGUGCACUCGAUCUUAUGUAUUUGGACAACUUGACGGAUUUAUCCAUGGGAUAU